AACGUAGGAGGCAAGCGUUAUCCGGAGUUACUGGGCGUAAAGGGCGCGCAGGUGGUUGUGUAAGUGUUGUGUGAAAGCACUCGGCUAAACUGGGUGAGGUCGCAACAGACUGCACGACUAGAGGGUGAUAGAAGCACGCGGAAUUCGGGGUGUAGCGGUGAAAUGUGUAGAGAUCCCGAGGAACACCAGUGGUGAAAACGGCGUGCUGGGUCAUACCUGACACUGAGGCGCGAAAGCUUGGGGAGCGAACGGG
RNAcentral lists this ribosomal RNA (253 nucleotides) under uncultured bacterium. RNAcentral's name for it is "partial 16S ribosomal RNA". It matches the Rfam family "Bacterial small subunit ribosomal RNA", at positions 524 to 776 of the family's 1533-position model. The record is from RNAcentral.